This 305-nucleotide ribosomal RNA is filed under the name uncultured bacterium. Its description in RNAcentral is "bacterial SSU rRNA". It matches the Rfam family "Bacterial small subunit ribosomal RNA", at positions 337 to 660 of the family's 1533-position model. The record is from RNAcentral.
ACCUACGGGGGGCAGCAGUGGGGGAUAUUGCACAAUGGGGGAAACCCUGAUGCAGCGACGCCGCGUGUGGGAAGACGGUCCUCUGGAUUGUAAACCACUGUCCCCAGGGACGAAAAUGACGGUACCUGGGGAGGAAGCUCCGGCUAACUACGUGCCAGCAGCCGCGGUAAUACGUAGGGAGCGAGCGUUGUCCGGAAUUACCGGGUGUAAAGGGAGCGUAGGCGGGAUGCAAGUUGGGUGUCAAAACUACCGGCUCAACUGGUAGUCGCACUCAAAACUGCAGCUCUUGAGUGAAGUAGAGGCAG